This 514-nucleotide ribosomal RNA is filed under the name Coniochaeta acaciae. RNAcentral describes it as "partial large subunit ribosomal RNA". It matches the Rfam family "Eukaryotic large subunit ribosomal RNA", at positions 114 to 653 of the family's 3401-position model. The record is from RNAcentral. Lineage: Eukaryota; Fungi; Ascomycota; Sordariomycetes; Coniochaetales; Coniochaetaceae.
UUUGAAAUCUGGCUCUCGGGCCCGAGUUGUAAUUUGUAGAGGAUGCUUUUGGCGAGGUGGCUUCUGAGUUCCCUGGAACGGGACGCCAGAGAGGGUGAGAGCCCCGUAUAGUCGCACACCAAGCCUUUGUAAAGCUCCUUCGACGAGUCGAGUAGUUUGGGAAUGCUGCUCAAAAUGGGAGGUAUAUCUCUUCUAAAGCUAAAUAUAGGCCAGAGACCGAUAGCGCACAAGUAGAGUGAUCGAAAGAUGAAAAGCACUUUGAAAAGAGGGUUAAAUAGCACGUGAAAUUGUUGAAAGGGAAGCGCUUGUGACCAGACUUGUGCCGGGCUGAUCAUCCACCGUUCUCGGUGGUGCACUCGACCCGGCUCAGGCCAGCGUCGGUUCUCGUAGGGGGAUAAAAGCUUCGGGAACGUGGCACCUUCGGGUGUGUUAUAGCCCGUUGCUUAAUACCCUUGUGGGGACCGAGGUUCGCGCUCUGCAAGGACGCUGGCAUAAUGGUCAUCAGCGACCCGUC